Molecule: ribosomal RNA, 413 nt
Filed under: uncultured beta proteobacterium
Lineage: Bacteria; Pseudomonadati; Pseudomonadota; Betaproteobacteria
Description: bacterial SSU rRNA
Rfam family: Bacterial small subunit ribosomal RNA
Source: RNAcentral
GCUAGUUGGUGAGGUAAAGGCUUACCAAGGCGACGAUCAGUAGCUGGUCUGAGAGGACGACCAGCCACACUGGGACUGAGACACGGCCCAGACUCCUACGGGAGGCAGCAGUGGGGAAUUUUGGACAAUGGGGGAAACCCUGAUCCAGCCAUGCCGCGUGAGUGAAGAAGGCCUUCGGGUUGUAAAGCUCUUUCAGCCGGAACGAAACGGUCACGGCUAAUACCUGUGACUACUGACGGUACCGGAAGAAGAAGCACCGGCUAACUACGUGCCAGCAGCCGCGGUAAUACUUAGGGUGCGAGCGUUAAUCGGAAUUACUGGGCGUAAAGCGUGCGCAGGCGGUUUUGUAAGUCAGAUGUGAAAUCCCCGGGCUUAACCUGGGAACUGCGUUUGAAACUACAAAGCUAGAAGGG